This 697-nucleotide ribosomal RNA is filed under the name uncultured bacterium. RNAcentral's name for it is "bacterial SSU rRNA". It matches the Rfam family "Bacterial small subunit ribosomal RNA", at positions 1 to 731 of the family's 1533-position model. The record is from RNAcentral.
CCCUUAGAGUUUGAUCCUGGCUCAGAACGAACGCUGGCGGCAGGCCUAACACAUGCAAGUCGAGCGAAGCCUUCGGGUUUAGCGGCGGACGGGUGAGUAACGCGUGGGAAUAUGCCCUUUGGUACGGAACAGUCCCGGGAAACUGGGUUUAAUACCGUAUGUGGUCCUUCGUAGUGGAUACGGGGGACGAAAGAUUUAUCGCCAAAGGAUUAGCCCGCGUUGGAUUAGGUAGUUGGUGGGGUAACGGCCUACCAAGCCGACGAUCCAUAGCUGGUUUGAGAGGAUGAUCAGCCACACUGGGACUGAGACACGGCCCAGACUCCUACGGGAGGCAGCAGUGGGGAAUCUUAGACAAUGGGGGCAACCCUGAUCUAGCCAUGCCGCGUGAGUGAUGAAGGCCUUAGGGUUGUAAAGCUCUUUCAGCUGGGAAGAUAAUGACGGUACCAGCAGAAGAAGCCCCGGCUAACUCCGUGCCAGCAGCCGCGGUAAUACGGAGGGGGCUAGCGUUGUUCGGAAUUACUGGGCGUAAAGCGCAUGUAGGCGGACCAGAAAGUUGGGGGUGAAAUCCCGGGGCUCAACCCCGGAACGGCCUUCAAAACUAUUGGUCUGGAGUUCGAGAGAGGUGAGUGGAAUUCCGAGUGUAGAGGUGAAAUUCGUAGAUAUUCGGAGGAACACCAGUGGCGAAGGCGGCUCACUG